This 441-nucleotide ribosomal RNA is filed under the name uncultured bacterium. RNAcentral describes it as "bacterial SSU rRNA". It matches the Rfam family "Bacterial small subunit ribosomal RNA", at positions 29 to 482 of the family's 1533-position model. The record is from RNAcentral.
AUUGAACGCUGGCGGCGUGCUUAACACAUGCAAGUCGUGCGGUAACAGGCGUAGCAAUACGUGCUGACGAGCGGCGAACGGGUGCGUAAUACAUGGGAAUCUGCCUUUUAGUGGGGAAUAACCCGGCGAAAGCCGGGCUAAUGCCGCAUAAGAUCUUCGGAUGAAAGCGGGGGAUCGUAAGACCUCGCGCUGAUAGAUGAGCCCAUGCCGGAUUAGCUAGUUGGGAGGUAACGGCUCACCAAGGCGACGAUCCGUAGCUGGUCUGAGAGGACGGCCAGCCACACUGGGACUGAGACACGGCCCAGACUCCUACGGGAGGCAGCAGUGGGGAAUAUUGGACAAUGGGGGAAACCCUGAUCCAGCGACGCCGCGUGUGUGAAGAAGGCCUGCGGGUUGUAAACCUCUUUCAGCCCUGACGAAGCGAGAGUGACGGGUAGGGGC